RNAcentral lists this ribosomal RNA (850 nucleotides) under Micromonospora sp. RNAcentral describes it as "bacterial SSU rRNA". It matches the Rfam family "Bacterial small subunit ribosomal RNA", at positions 43 to 910 of the family's 1533-position model. RNAcentral also lists the same sequence under 1 other name. The record is from RNAcentral. Lineage: Bacteria; Bacillati; Actinomycetota; Actinomycetes; Micromonosporales; Micromonosporaceae.
GGUGCUUACACAUGCAAGUCGAGCGGAAAGGCCCUUCGGGGUACUCGAGCGGCGAACGGGUGAGUAACACGUGAGCAACCUGCCCCAGGCUUUGGGAUAACCCCGGGAAACCGGGGCUAAUACCGAAUAUGACCUCCGAUCGCAUGGUUGGUGGUGGAAAGUUUUUCGGCUUGGGAUGGGCUCGCGGCCUAUCAGCUUGUUGGUGGGGUGAUGGCCUACCAAGGCGACGACGGGUAGCCGGCCUGAGAGGGCGACCGGCCACACUGGGACUGAGACACGGCCCAGACUCCUACGGGAGGCAGCAGUGGGGAAUAUUGCACAAUGGGCGGAAGCCUGAUGCAGCGACGCCGCGUGAGGGAUGACGGCCUUCGGGUUGUAAACCUCUUUCAGCAGGGACGAAGCGUAAGUGACGGUACCUGCAGAAGAAGCGCCGGCCAACUACGUGCCAGCAGCCGCGGUAAGACGUAGGGCGCGAGCGUUGUCCGGAUUUAUUGGGCGUAAAGAGCUCGUAGGCGGCUUGUCGCGUCGACUGUGAAAACCCGCAGCUCAACUGCGGGCCUGCAGUCGAUACGGGCAGGCUAGAGUUCGGUAGGGGAGACUGGAAUUCCUGGUGUAGCGGUGAAAUGCGCAGAUAUCAGGAGGAACACCGGUGGCGAAGGCGGGUCUCUGGGCCGAUACUGACGCUGAGGAGCGAAAGCGUGGGGAGCGAACAGGAUUAGAUACCCUGGUAGUCCACGCUGUAAACGUUGGGCGCUAGGUGUGGGGGGCCUCUCCGGUUCCCUGUGCCGCAGCUAACGCAUUAAGCGCCCCGCCUGGGGAGUACGGCCGCAAGGCUAAAACUCAAAGGAAU